GGUUAAGCGACUAAGCGUACACGGUGGAUGCCCUGGCAGUCAGAGGCGAUGAAGGGCGUGCUAAUCUGCGAUAAGCGCCGGUAAGGUGAUAUGAACCGUUAUAACCGGCGAUACCCGAAUGGGGAAACCCAGUGUGACUCGUCACACUAUCAUUAACUGAAUCCAUAGGUUAAUGAGGCGAACCGGGGGAACUGAAACAUCUAAGUACCCCGAGGAAAAGAAAUCAACCGAGAUUCCCCCAGUAGCGGCGAGCGAACGGGGAGGAGCCCAGAGCCUGAAUCAGCAUGUGUGUUAGUGGAAGCGUCUGGAAAGGCGCGCGAUACAGGGUGACAGCCCCGUACACAAAAGCGCAUGUGCUGUGAGCUCGAUGAGUAGGGCGGGACACGUGGUAUCCUGUCUGAAUAUGGGGGGACCAUCCUCCAAGGCUAAAUACUCCUGACUGACCGAUAGUGAACCAGUACCGUGAGGGAAAGGCGAAAAGAACCCCGGCGAGGGGAGUGAAAAAGAACCUGAAACCGUGUACGUACAAGCAGUGGGAGCCCCACCACCAAAGCAUUCUCUGGUGUUGAAGGCCCUGCAAAGCAGCAUCGCGGUGGCGGAGCGUCGUUUGCGACGCCCAACACACAAAACAAGCGGUGAGUGCUUUGGGUGGGGUGACUGCGUACCUUUUGUAUAAUGGGUCAGCGACUUAUAUUCUGUAGCAAGGUUAACCGAAUAGGGGAGCCGGAGGGAAACCGAGUCUUAAUUGGGCGUUAAGUUGCAGGGUAUAGACCCGAAACCCGGUGAUCUAGCCAUGGGCAGGUUGAAGGUUGGGUAA
RNAcentral lists this ribosomal RNA (817 nucleotides) under Salmonella enterica subsp. enterica serovar Agona str. SA-5. RNAcentral describes it as "bacterial LSU rRNA". It matches the Rfam family "Bacterial large subunit ribosomal RNA", at positions 1 to 759 of the family's 2925-position model. Lineage: Bacteria; Pseudomonadati; Pseudomonadota; Gammaproteobacteria; Enterobacterales; Enterobacteriaceae. The record is from RNAcentral.